This is a non-coding RNA of Ricinus communis (castor bean), 104 nucleotides long. NCBI's taxonomy places the organism in Eukaryota, Viridiplantae, Streptophyta, Magnoliopsida, Malpighiales, Euphorbiaceae. The record is from Rfam.
UGCCUUAGGUGUAGGUUGCAUAAAUAGACCAUCAACCUCUCCCAUGCAUCGUACAUGCUUUCAUCAUCAAACUGCACAAAAAAAGAUAUGUCAUUUCUAAGUUU